GAUGAACGCUAGCUACAGGCUUAACACAUGCAAGUCGAGGGGUAGCAGGGUAGCAAUACCGCUGACGACCGGCGCACGGGUGAGUAACACGUAUCCAACCUUCCCAUAACUCGGGGAUAGCCUUUCGAAAGAAAGAUUAACACCCGAUAGUACUUUUUCAAGGCAUCUUGAGAAAGUUAAAGAUUUAUUGGUUAUGGAUGGGGAUGCGUUCCAUUAGAUAGUUGGUGAGGUAACGGCUCACCAAGUCUUCGAUGGAUAGGGGUUCUGAGAGGAAGGUCCCCCACAUUGGUACUGAGACACGGACCAAACGCCUACGGGAGGCAGCAGUGAGGAAUAUUGGUCAAUGGGCGAGAGCCUGAACCAGCCAAGUAGCGUGAAGGAUGAAGGUCCUAUGGAUUGUAAACUUCUUUUAUAGUAGAAUAAAGUGACCUACGUGUAGGUUUUUGUAUGUAUACUAUGAAUAAGGAUCGGCUAACUCCGUGCCAGCCGCCGCUGUAA
Molecule: ribosomal RNA, 498 nt
Filed under: uncultured bacterium
Lineage: Bacteria
Description: partial 16S ribosomal RNA
Rfam family: Bacterial small subunit ribosomal RNA
Source: RNAcentral